Long non-coding RNA from Anopheles funestus (African malaria mosquito), 355 nucleotides. RefSeq lists it as uncharacterized. The record is from RefSeq and is a predicted model, not a curated record. Lineage: Eukaryota; Metazoa; Arthropoda; Insecta; Diptera; Culicidae. The transcript is spliced from 2 exons.
CUUCGCAUUCCGUCUCGAGCGACGAUCGGAGCGGAUCGCUCAUCAGGAGCCGCAUAUCCAGCAUACCAAGUGUGGUGCCUAAAACGAUUCAAGUGAACGGGACGGAAAUUAAAAUCUUUCUCGUACAUCUUUAACCAUUUGUACACUACCCUGAGACGGUACCGAACCGUGUGACCACCGAGUCGUAGCAACUUUUUAUGAUAUGCCGUUUGGAACAGAUCGUACAGCAACAAGACCGCGUGCUGUGAAAUUCGAUGGAUUCUUCUAACAUCUAAAACGAAACAUACAGAGCAUACAUUAAUACUGUUUGUUUCCAAAAUGAGCUCUAAAGGAAACGUACCUUCUUCUUCUCGUA